Molecule: unclassified non-coding RNA, 211 nt
Filed under: Hevea brasiliensis (rubber tree)
Lineage: Eukaryota; Viridiplantae; Streptophyta; Magnoliopsida; Malpighiales; Euphorbiaceae
Source: RNAcentral
GCUUUGAGGAAACUGUUUCUGGUAAGCUGCUUUUGUUUUGUUUUUUGCUUGAUAAGUCUGUUUUCUUAUGUUGUGCAUUGGUGGUAUUUAGAAGAAGAUAGUUCCUAGUUUAUUUAUCAAGGUUGCUUAAUUGGCUAAUUACAAUUUACAACUUUAGUGCACUGGUACAAUUUUUAUUUUAAUUUGUUGUUUAUUUAGGGAUUUUAAAUGA